GGACGAACGCUGGCGGCGUGCCUAACACAUGCAAGUCGAGCGGAGAUAUAUUGAAGGUUUACCGGAUAUAUAUCUUAGCGGCGGACGGGUGAGUAACGCGUGGGCAACCUGCCUUAUACAGGGGGAUAACACAGGGAAACUUGUGCUAAUACCGCAUAAUAUCAUUGUAUGGCAUCAUACGAUGAUCAAAGGAGCAAUCCGGUAUGAGAUGGGCCCGCGUCCGAUUAGCUAGUUGGUGGGGUAACAGCUCACCAAGGCGACGAUCGGUAGCCGAACUGAGAGGUUGAUCGGCCACAUUGGGACUGAGACACGGCCCAGACUCCUACGGGAGGCAGCAGUGGGGAAUAUUGCGCAAAUGGGGGAAACCCUGACGCAGCAACGCCGCGUGAAGGAUGAAGGCCUUCGGGUUGUAAACUUCUUUGAUUGGGGAAGAAGAAAGUGACUGUACCCAAAAAACAAGCCACGGCUAACUACGUGCCAGCCGCCGC
Molecule: ribosomal RNA, 488 nt
Filed under: uncultured bacterium
Lineage: Bacteria
Description: bacterial SSU rRNA
Rfam family: Bacterial small subunit ribosomal RNA
Source: RNAcentral